GGCUGCAGCCGGUGUCGCUGCCACUCCCGGGAGCAUGAAGGACCGAACACAGGAGCUCCGCACGGCCAAGGACAGCGAUGAUGAUGAUGAUGUCACUGUCACCGUGGACCGAGACCGCUUCAUGGAUGAGUUCUUCGAGCAGGUGGAGGAGAUCCGCGGCUUCAUUGACAAGAUCUCAGAGAAUGUGGAGGAGGUGAAGCGGAAGCACAGCGCCAUCCUGGCCUCCCCCAACCCUGAUGAGAAAACCAAGGAAGAGCUGGAGGAACUCAUGUCUGACAUAAAGAAGACAGCAAACAAAGUUCGCUCCAAAUUGAAGAGCAUCGAGCAGAGCAUCGAGCAGGAGGAAGGCCUGAGCCGCUCAUCUGCUGACCUGAGGAUCCGAAAGACACAGCACUCCACACUGUCCCGGAAGUUUGUGGAGGUGAUGUCCGAGUACAACGCCACGCAGACUGACUACCGCGAGCGCUGCAAGGGCCGCAUCCAGAGGCAGCUGGAGAUCACCGGCCGGACCACGACCAGCGAGGAGCUGGAGGACAUGCUGGAGAGUGGGAACCCCGCCAUCUUUGCCUCCGGGAUCAUCAUGGACUCCAGCAUCUCAAAGCAGGCCCUGAGCGAGAUUGAGACGCGCCACAGUGAGAUCAUCAAGCUGGAGAACAGCAUCCGGGAGCUGCACGACAUGUUCAUGGACAUGGCCAUGCUUGUGGAGAGCCAGGCUGCUUUCCUGAAAUCCGGCCCUGGGCCCCGUCGUAACCCUGAGGGGGCCCUCUGGAGCUCGGGUGCCCCUGGCCCUGCAGGGAGAGAUGAUUGACAGGAUUGAGUACAACGUGGAACAUUCGGUGGACUACGUGGAGAGGGCUGUGUCCGACACCAAGAAGGCCGUCAAGUACCAGAGCAAGGCUCGCCGGAAGAAGAUCAUGAUCAUCAUCUGCUGUGUGGUCCUGGGCAUCGUCAUUGCCUCCACCUUCGGAGGCAUCUUCGGGUAGAAACCACCCCACCCGCCACUCCGCUCUGGAUGGCCCACCCCCAGGAGGCCCCCUGGCUGCUGCCACCUUCUGGCUCGAGUCCUCUCCUCCCCACCCCAUACUGCUCCUUUCUCUGCACAGGGCCCCCCAUUCCCACCCUGCCCUGAGCCGUCGUGUGCAUGAUCUUUGUGACAGUGUGCAUCUGUACAGAGGAGGCAGAGGGGAGCCAGGCUGGGAAACAGCCAGCUGGGUGGGGAUGGGCCAGCAAGGGAGAGACUCAGGCCCUGGCCCAGGCCACUCCCCUUCUAGGCAGGGCCGCCUGGGGUAGUUAGCCAUGCUCCCCUCCCCCGGCCUUCAGUAAUUCCACUCCAGCCUGGGGUCUGCCCUCUCCUGGGAUCAAGGCUCUCUGGACCCCAACCUUGCCUCCUACUGACCAGCCCAUCUGCCCCAUCCUGUGUCCUCUCCAGCUGUCCCCAUAAGCCAAGCCCCCUGAGGGCUGGGGACCAGCUGGCCACAUGGUGCUGCUUUUCAGGUUAGGGGAAGGGUGGCCUUGAGAGACAGCCCAGCUCUAAGCCUCUAACAGCCACUCACUGCCAGGGAGGCUCAGGGUACCGUGGCGGGUAUGGCUUCUGGCCGUGUCAAGACCAGGCUUCCUCCCCUGCCUCGGGGCAGAGUCCAACAGGUCUUCAGCUGCCUCAGCCUCCCUUCCCACAUUCCUACAGCCCCAGGAGCAACCCCUUUGGGCUACGCCUGACCCCAGGUAACAUUCUGGAAGAGGCUGACUGGUGCCUGGUCUCCAGCCGCCCUCGGAGCUAGGGAGGCAGAGCAGGCCCCGGUCAGGCCUCUGCACUGGUGAAGCCCACGGCCCGGGCCAGCCACUCUCCCCGGCAGGCCCUAGUCGGGUCCUCAAGCCAUUGUGUGUUGCAUGUUUGGGACAGUGGUCCCUGCUCUCUUGUGCUCGGGAAGUCAGCGUCCCUUCAGGCGCCCGCGAUCUCGUCCUGCCCUUGCUGCCCACCACUGACAUGCCACGUGGGUGUCAGGUAUCUAGGAUGCAGUAUUCAGCAGCCAGCCAGGGAGGGGCACCUCCCUCCUCCCCACUGCCUCGGGACUUCUCAAGUCUGAGAUGUGCCCCCACCCAAAACCCGUCGCCCGUUGACAGGCAAGGAGCGUGCAUGCGAGCGCAUGCAGCAGGGGCCGGGGCCAGGUCUGGGCCCCGCCUUCCCUCGGCUUUGCUCCUGCCCAGUGACUGUGACCGCUGUCGUGUUGCCUUCUUGAACAGCGACUCCCUCCCCCUCCUCCACCCCUUCACCAAAGGUCUUGGUACAACCAGCUGCCCAUUUUGUGAAAUUUUUAUGUAGAAUAAACAUUUGUACCUGUA
RNA transcript from Balaenoptera ricei (Rice's whale), 2340 nucleotides. It is a transcript of the gene named syntaxin 1A, with no coding region annotated. Lineage: Eukaryota; Metazoa; Chordata; Mammalia; Artiodactyla; Balaenopteridae. The transcript has 10 exons. The record is from RefSeq and is a predicted model, not a curated record.